RNAcentral lists this ribosomal RNA (133 nucleotides) under Castor canadensis (American beaver). The record is from RNAcentral. Lineage: Eukaryota; Metazoa; Chordata; Mammalia; Rodentia; Castoridae.
AUCUAUGGCCAAACCACCCUAAAUGUGCCAGAUCUCAUCUGGUCUUGGAAGCUAAGCAGGGUCAGGCCUGGUUAGUACUUGGAUGGAAGAAAGAUUUUCAGAGGAGACUGCUCAGAGACAAGUAGUUUGGAGA